CUGGGGGGGGGGUGCUCCCUCAGCCCGGAUUGAGGGAGGGUGCAGGCCAGGCCAAGGGACCCCACCAGUGCACA
This 74-nucleotide microRNA precursor is filed under the name Myotis brandtii (Brandt's bat). RNAcentral describes it as "mir-9193 microRNA precursor family". It matches the Rfam family "mir-9193 microRNA precursor family". Lineage: Eukaryota; Metazoa; Chordata; Mammalia; Chiroptera; Vespertilionidae. The record is from Rfam by way of RNAcentral.